GCUGGUCAUGGUGGCACAUGCCUGUAAUUCCAGCAACUUGGGAGGCUGAGGCAGGAGGAUCGCAAGUUCAAAGCCAGCGUCAUCAACUAAGGGAGGCCCUAAGCAACUUAGUUGCUCCUAAGCAACUUAGUGAGAUCCUAUCUCAA
RNAcentral lists this small RNA (146 nucleotides) under Marmota monax (woodchuck). Lineage: Eukaryota; Metazoa; Chordata; Mammalia; Rodentia; Sciuridae. The record is from RNAcentral.